RNAcentral lists this long non-coding RNA (199 nucleotides) under Elaeis guineensis (African oil palm). RNAcentral describes it as "long non-coding RNA (EGUI_LNC069152)". Lineage: Eukaryota; Viridiplantae; Streptophyta; Magnoliopsida; Arecales; Arecaceae. The record is from RNAcentral.
ACUCCAUCAAUGAAGACUAGAUUUGAGUAAAAUUUCUUGACAAGAUCAAUAUAAAUGGGCUCGGAUAAAUUGUAGAAAAAUCUUCAUCCUUGUCUAAUCAAUUUCUCGCCAAUAGAAAAUCCAUCAUUUCUCAAGAAACAAAAAUCAAUAUCCCUUUCCAGGGCUACUUUUCUUGCAGACAAAGGGAUUUUACUUGGGG